GUGGGGAAUCUUGCGCAAUGGGCGAAAGCCUGACGCAGCCAUGCCGCGUGAAUGAUGAAGGUCUUAGGAUUGUAAAAUUCUUUCACCGGGGACGAUAAUGACGGUACCCGGAGAAGAAGCUCCGGCUAACUUCGUGCCAGCAGCCGCGGUAAUACGAAGGGGGCUAGCGUUGCUCGGAAUUACUGGGCGUAAAGGGCGCGUAGGCGGACAGCUUAGUCAGAGGUGAAAGCCCAGGGCUGAACCUUGGAAUUGCCUUUGAUACUGGGUGUCUUGAGUUUGGGAGAGGUGAGUGGAACUCCGAGUGUAGAGGUGAAAUUCGUAGAUAUUAGGAAGAACACCAGUGGCGAAGGCGGCUCACUGGUCCGGUACUGACGCUGAGGUGCGAAAGCGUGGGGAGCAAACAGGAUUAGAUACCCCAGUAGUCC
RNAcentral lists this ribosomal RNA (425 nucleotides) under uncultured bacterium. RNAcentral describes it as "partial 16S ribosomal RNA". It matches the Rfam family "Bacterial small subunit ribosomal RNA", at positions 354 to 796 of the family's 1533-position model. The record is from RNAcentral.